UACGAAGGGGGCUAGCGUUGUUCGGAAUUACUGGGCGUAAAGGGCGCGUAGGCGGUACUUCAAGUCAGGCGUGAAAGCCCCGGGCUCAACCUGGGAAUGGCGGUGGAAACUGGCGAGCUAGAGUGUGUCAGAGGGGGGUGGAAUUCCACGUGUAGCAGUGAAAUGCGUAGAGAUGUGGAGGAACACCAAUGGCGAAGGCAGCCCCCUGGGAUAACACUGACGCUCAGGCACGAAAGCGUGGGGAGCAAACAGG
RNAcentral lists this ribosomal RNA (253 nucleotides) under uncultured bacterium. RNAcentral's name for it is "partial 16S ribosomal RNA". It matches the Rfam family "Bacterial small subunit ribosomal RNA", at positions 524 to 776 of the family's 1533-position model. The record is from RNAcentral.